GACGAACGCUGGCGGCGUGCCUAAUACAUGCAAGUCGAACGAGUGGCGGACGGGUGAGUAAAACGUGGGUAACGUACCGAAAGAGGGGGAUAACACUUGGAAACAGGUGCUAAUACCGCAUACUGAUGUAUGAACCCGCGGUGCAUUAGCUAGUAGGUGGGGUAAAGGCUAACCUAGGCGACGAUCUCUAGCUGGGCUGAGAGGAUGAUCAGCCACACUGGGACUGAGACACGGCCCAGACUCCUACGGGAGGCAGCAGUGGGGAAUAUUGCACAAUGGGCGCAAGCCUGAUGCAGCCAUGCCGCGUGUAUGAAGAAGGCCUUAGGGUUGUAAAGUACUUUCAGCGGGGAGGCGUUACCCGCAGAAGAAGCACCGGCUAACUCCGUGCCAGCAGCCGCGGUAAUAC
This 406-nucleotide ribosomal RNA is filed under the name uncultured bacterium. Its description in RNAcentral is "partial 16S ribosomal RNA". It matches the Rfam family "Bacterial small subunit ribosomal RNA", at positions 28 to 526 of the family's 1533-position model. The record is from RNAcentral.